CCUGUGGCAGCGGGGGAGGGGCUCGGUUUGCCUGGGUUCUAGGAACUGAGCAGAGCAGGGCAGCAGGUCUACCCCACAGGAAACAGGAUGUCUCCCCAAGAUGGAGCUGCGGCUGCCAUCCACAAGGGACAGCAGUCCGCCGUGUGACUCACGCCCUCACAGAGAGAUCAGGAGUCCACAGACUGCCUGUCACAAAUCCAGCUCUAAACAAACACUAGGCUGACCACGGCCACCGGGCACGUAAGGACAGAGUCCGACCAAGCCUGGGCUACUCUGCAUCGCGGGCACCAUGUCAUCCCAGCUACAGAGUCCAAGGCCCACCGGGGCGGCCCCCUCAGCCACAUAAACCAGCAGGGACCCGAGAAAAUGCUGGAAGCAGGCCAGCCAGACCGGCCCCCACGGCUCAGCAGCGCUGGGUCGUGUCCAGAACUGGCAACCAGGGCUCUGGCGGUGGGCAGUGGUGCCCUCCCCAGAACCAGGAAUGACAAACCAGCAAGACGGCACACGGGGUGCCGGAAGGUGCCCCCGCACACUAUAUGUCCACGAACACCCACAACCAGAAUACGCUGCACUCCAAGGUCAAAUGCCGGGUCCCAGAGGCCCCGAAGGACCUUUGGCUUGCAAGGACCAGCGAUACCGAGGGGCCCAGCAACCAGGAACGGCACCAGCCGGCAAGGGCUGCGGAGGCUGGCCUCGAACUCCUGAUCCGCGCUCUGAGGAACGCAGCAGUAACGGUGAUAGCAACGGCUUAGCUGUGGCCUACGCCGUCCGUGAGGCAGAGGCAGGCGGAUCCGAGUUCGCCUGCUCUUCAGGGCGAGUCCCAGGGCGGCCGGGGUUAAGCAGAGAAACCCAGUCCCCAAGCAAAAAGAAAUGUCGACAGAUGAGCGCGUGAUGGGUGACAGGCAGCUCCACCUGGCAGGAGGCCGGGGAGGCGGGAAAUCGAGGCCAGCCACCCUUGGCGACGUUCGCUGCCGUCUAGGGCUGCAUAAAACCUGGCCUCACAACUGGGCGUGGAAGGCGCCCUUAAUCCCAGCGCUCGGGAGGCGGAGGCAGCCGGGUCUCGGUGAGUUCCAGGCCAGCCACGGCUACACAGAGAAACCCUGUCUCGGAAAAACCUCGCUUCAAAAACCGAACCAAAGCUGCUGCUUCUUGGCUUUCAGUCAGUUGUCUCCAGUCUGCUUCCUCUUUGGACGAGAUCUCACUCUGUAGCCCAGACCUCCGGGCCUUCCCUCUGCCUCAGCCUCCCGGGGGAGGCGGGGCGGGACCCGGGCGCGCUCCCGGCCACGCCGCGCGCGUCCGGCAGGGGGCGCCGCAGGGCCGCGAGCGCGCUGUCCCCGCCUGACCCUGGCCGCAGCCUGCGCGCGCUGCGGCGUCCAUUGUUCCCGGGCAAUGCACUCCCUCGGCUGAGCCGGGGAGACGAGAGCGGCUUCCCAGCCUGCAAUGCGGAAAGCUCUAAACGACCCGGUUCCGGCCUCCCUCCCUGCUGGUUUCCUUAAUGCCUGACCUCUGCGUGCGCAAGAGGGGACGCGGAGCCGGUGUCGGUGGACUGACACCCGAGGAGUGACGGGCAGGAGGACUCAGCUCCAAGGCCGCCUACAAAUGGGGUCGUGACUCCAUUCCUUUUCCUUUUCCUUAUUUUUUUUUUCUAACCCGACCAGCGCAUGCGCCCUCUGGUCGGGAGCGCCCUGAUUUAUUUUUCUGGAAGAACCCAGAGCUCCCCGAAGUGUCAGAGACGCCUCACAGCUUUCCAGGCAGAGUGGGGUCUUGUAAUGGGACGGGGCCAAUGUUCUCAAAGAGGUUCAGGGGGCCAGGUAGCCGCCCGGGUGCAGAGCACGCCCCUGGCCCGUGAGAAGGGAGCCCGGGGGCCCGGCCACGCAGGCUCCUAGACCGGCCUUGGCCUCGCAAGCCUGUCUUCCCUCAGGCUGGAGAUUGGAGGAGCGGGUUCGAAAGGUUAUCCUUAGCCACACCUGAGUUCAAGACCACCCUGGCUACACUGAGACUUUGUUUCAGAAAGCAAUACUAAAGAGGGGAUGGAAAAAUGAAAGGUGGGGGAUGGCUCAGAGGUUAAGCGCACCGGCUGCUCUCCCAGCAACAACAUGGUGGCUCACAGCCACCUCUAAGGAGAGCUGGUGCCCUCUUCUGAUGGGUAGGCACACACGCAGGCGCAACAGUGUGUACAAAAUAAAUAAAAUCCUCUUAAAAAAUAAUAAAAAACAUGUAAAAGAAGGAAAGGAAAGCCAGGGCCUCAACCGCAGAAGAGACACAGGGAACUGAGGCCGACGAGGCUGGACCAGCCUGCCAUCUCAAAGCUUUGAAAGGUAAGGCAGGAGGAUUGUGGGAAAUUCCUAGGCGACCUGGGCUUCCCAGCAAUACCAAGUAUCAAAAACGAAUCAAGACGCUGAGAUCACUGAGGAAAAACGCAGUCACACGAGCCCGAUGACCUGACACUGCCCCCCAAACCAUGGUGCAUAGAGAAUGCCGCUCCAGAGACUCCUCUGACCCACACGUGCCCCGCGGCGCAGACAUCAAGCACACAUUAACCGGACUGGGCUCUGAGCACUGGGGUGACACCACAGACCCCAGUCGUCAGUCCUGCGCGGUGGAGGCUGGUGAUCGCGCGGCUCCAGGUCAGACUGAGCUGCGGAUGACCCUCGCUCCAAAAAGCAGUAACUUCGUUUUUGUUGUUUGUUUUCCAGACGGGGUACAAGCCCUGGCUGGCUUGAAACUCACGAUGUAGACCAGGCUGGGGCCUCGGACCUGCCUGCUUUUGACUCGCAGCUGCUGGGAUCAAAGGUGCGGGCUAUGACACCUGGUAAAAAUAAAAUUUAUUUGAGAAAAA
Molecule: long non-coding RNA, 2839 nt
Organism: Meriones unguiculatus (Mongolian gerbil)
Lineage: Eukaryota; Metazoa; Chordata; Mammalia; Rodentia; Muridae
Exons: 2
Source: RefSeq, a predicted model, not a curated record